UUAAAAGCCUCGUAGUUGGAUAUGUGUUGAGAACUGCCGGUCUACCCCAGUGGUCAGCACACGGUUUGUUCUCGGCACUUUCCUGGGGAGAGUGUUUGCACUUCACUGUGUGGCACAUGAUCCAGAACUUUUACUUUGAGGAAAUGAGAGUGUUUCAAGCGGGCGCCUGUCGUGAAUACGUUAGCAUGGAAUAAUAGCAUGGGACCGCGGUCUGAAGCUGUUGGUUUUUGGGCCGUGGUAAUGAAAAUAGGGAUAGUUGGGGGUAUUCGUAUUUAACUGUCAGAGGUGAAUUUCUUGGAUUUUUUAAAGACGGACUACUGCGAAAGCAUCUGCCCAGGAUGUCUUUAUUGAUCAAGAACGAAAGUUAGGGGAUCGAAGACGAUCAGAUACCGUCCUAGUCUUAACCUUAAACCAUGCCGACUAGAGAUUUGGGUCGUCAGAAUCGUGACGCCCUGAGCACCUUAGGGGAAACCAAAGUCUUCGGGUUCCGGGGGGAGUAUGGUCGCAAGGCUGAAACUUAAAGGAAUUGACGGAAGGGCACCACCAGGAGUGGAGCCUGCGGCUUAAUUUGACU
RNAcentral lists this ribosomal RNA (574 nucleotides) under uncultured marine eukaryote. Its description in RNAcentral is "SSU rRNA". It matches the Rfam family "Eukaryotic small subunit ribosomal RNA", at positions 619 to 1200 of the family's 1831-position model. The record is from RNAcentral.